AGAUUAAGUUAUUAAGGGCGCACGGUGGAUGCCUUGGCACUAGAAGCCGAUGAAGGACGUUACUAACGACGAUAUGCUUUGGGGAGCUGUAAGUAAGCUUUGAUCCAGAGAUUUCCGAAUGGGGAAACCCAGCACGAGUUAUGUCGUGUUAUCUGCAUGUGAAUACAUAGCAUGCAAGAAGGCAGACCCGGAGAACUGAAACAUCUUAGUACCCGGAGGAAGAGAAAGAAAAAUCGAUUCCCUGAGUAGCGGCGAGCGAAACGGGAAGAGCCCAAACCAAUAAGCUUGCUUAUUGGGGUUGUAGGACACUCUGUACGGAGUUACAAAAGAAUUGGUUAGACGAAUAACCUGGAAAGGUUAAUCAGAGAAGGUAAUAAUCCUGUAGUCGAAAACGAAUUCUCUCUUGAGUGGAUCCUGAGUACGACGGAGCACGUGAAAUUCCGUCGGAAUCUGGGAGGACCAUCUCCUAAGGCUAAAUACUCUCUAGUGACCGAUAGUGAACCAGUACCGUGAGGGAAAGGUGAAAAGUACCCCGGAAGGGGAGUGAAAGAGAACUUGAAACCGUGUGCUUACAAGUAGUCAGAGCCCGUUAAUGGGUGAUGGCGUGCCUUUUGUAGAAUGAACCGGCGAGUUACGAUCUGAUGCAAGGUUAAGCAGAAAAUGUGGAGCCGUAGCGAAAGCGAGUCUGAAUAGGGCGAAUGAGUAUUUGGUCGUAGACCCGAAACCAGGUGAUCUACCCUUGGUCAGGUUGAAGUUCAGGUAACACUGAAUGGAGGACCGAACCGACUUACGUUGAAAAGUGAGCGGAUG
Molecule: ribosomal RNA, 810 nt
Filed under: Staphylococcus pseudintermedius
Lineage: Bacteria; Bacillati; Bacillota; Bacilli; Caryophanales; Staphylococcaceae
Description: partial 23S ribosomal RNA
Rfam family: Bacterial large subunit ribosomal RNA
Source: RNAcentral